UACGUAGGGUGCAAGCGUUGUCCGGAAUUAUUGGGCGUAAAGGGCUCGUAGGCGGUUUGUCACGUCGGGAGUGAAAACUCGGGGCUUAACCCCGAGCCUGCUUCCGAUACGGGCUGACUAGAGGUAUGCAGGGGAGAACGGAAUUCCUGGUGUAGCGGUGAAAUGCGCAGAUAUCAGGAGGAACACCGGUGGCGAAGGCGGUUCUCUGGGCAUGAUCUGACGCUGAGGAGCGAAAGUGUGGGGAGCGAACAGG
Molecule: ribosomal RNA, 253 nt
Filed under: uncultured bacterium
Lineage: Bacteria
Description: partial 16S ribosomal RNA
Rfam family: Bacterial small subunit ribosomal RNA
Source: RNAcentral